Molecule: ribosomal RNA, 949 nt
Filed under: uncultured Neocallimastigales
Lineage: Eukaryota; Fungi; Neocallimastigomycota; Neocallimastigomycetes; Neocallimastigales
Description: partial large subunit ribosomal RNA
Rfam family: Eukaryotic large subunit ribosomal RNA (bases 158-949)
Source: RNAcentral
CGCAUCUGUGCAUGCAGCAUAUCAAUAAGCGGAGGAAAAGCAUAGCAUGUACUACCUACGCUUAGGAUGUUGACGCGCGUGUGUGCGUGAUCUAUACAUGACUCUGUGCAUAUCAAUAAGCGGAGGAAAAGUAAAUGCUGUAUACCUACGCUUAGGAUGUUGAAGCCAUCGGCAUCUGUGCAUGCUAAUGGCAUAUCAAUAAGCGGAGGAAAAGAAACUAACAAGGAUUCCCUUAGUAACGGCGAGUGAAGCGGGAAGAGCUCAAAUUUGAAAUCUUCAAGGUUUUACCUUGACGAAUUGUAGUUUAAAGAAGUGUUUUCUGUUGAAGUUUUGGUAAAAGUUCUUUGGAAUAGGACAUCAUAGAGGGUGAGAAUCCCGUAUUUGACCAUUAUUUUCAGCUGUGUGAUACACUUUCAAAGAGUCGGAUUGUUUGGGAAUGCAGUCCAAAAUGGGUGGUAAAUUUCAUCUAAAGCUAAAUAUUGGCGAGAGACCGAUAGCGAACAAGUACCGUGAGGGAAAGAUGAAAAGAACUUUGAAAAGAGAGUUAAACAGUACGUGAAAUUGUCAAAAGGGAAGCGUUUGACACCAGUGUUGUUUUCUCGAAAAUCAAUUAAAAAGAGUUUGAUUUUGUUGUGUAUUGACCUUAACAGCUUGCAUUUCAAUUUUCUUGCUUUUUUUCAAUGCACUUUUCGUUUAACAAGUCAACAUCAGUUUCUUUUGUUGUAAAAAGGUCAUUGGAAGGUGGCUUUCUUUUCGGAGAAAGUGUUUAUAGCCUUUGACUCCUGCAAUCGGAGAGACUGAGGUCUGCAGCGUAGAUCCUUCGGGGUUAGAUACAUUUGUGCUAAGUUAUAGCUUUUUAUAGACAACUUGUUGACUAUGAUUAGUCUUGUAGCUUACUCGCUUAUGCUAUUUUACCUACGCUUAGGAUGUUGACGCGCGUGUGUGCGUG